UGUACAUGGUGCACAAAGAAGGAGGUUCCAUGUAUGCUCAACCAAGGCGACAGUAGCUGUGUUUUCGGUGCGUUCAGGUAGCGAAAGGACAGCCUCUGAGAUCUACCAACUUCUUCCGAGACUCGGGAUGUGACUUUAAUCACCACCUAUUUCUCACUUUAUUGCUGCAUUUUUAUACAAAAAGUAGUUAUUCUUUUCUACUGCGUUUUUUAAAGUUUUAUUUGCUCAAGAACUGUUUUUUUUUUGCUAGCGCGUUAGCAUUGAGGUAGCCGUGUCUGGCCGCGCCCGCCCGCUCGUUGCAAGGCGUAGGCCUAAUCGCCAUCACCAUCGCAAGUGUGUUGUCUGUUAUUUAGCACGUGCAUGCAAGCAAAUGUGACAAAGUUGGUCUUUAUUGUAUGUCAAGCCCGACUGGCCCUACCAGGAUAUUCCGUAUCAUAUCGCAGGCUACGGCUGGUAUUCUUAAAAGAUGUUUGCGCUGGUGCGCUUUGUCAAUGAGAUUGACAAGACGAAAAGAUACAUAAUACCCGUCAAAGACAUACAUGACUUUUACCCACUCCACUUGUUGGACUUUGACAACAAAGUGACGUACAGUGCCAACUGGUGCGACCCCAACGACGAGGAGGACAGCGGCGAAUAUGUUGUCCAGAUUCUUAAGCUGGCAGAAACGAAAGAAGAACUGAAGCAGAUGGACAAGAGAACACCUGUCCCUCCAAUCCAUGCAUCUGAUUUGGAGGAUGUAGGCAAAGAUGAUGAUGCUCGAACAAGCAAAAAAACUGCGAUGCAGGAGUCCAGGAAAAAGAUACAAAAUCAGCUGUGCACGAAAAAGCAACAGCUUGCAGCAGUUCUCGAGCAGCACACCAAACAUGCACUGGUUAAUAAUGCUGCAGCUGCUGGCAAAACUCAAGCAGCUCCAAGGAGAAAGAGGAUUAAGACCUCAGAGGAAUGCUCGGACUCCAGUGACGACGACGACAGUGUCAUCGCGUUAUCAGAACUGAGAAAUUCUGAGAAGGAGGCUAAGUUUUGGAAAAGUAGAUAUAAGCUGGAAUGUCAGCAUUCAGCCUCCUUGAAAAGGAAUAUAGACUUCCUACAAAAGAAAGUGGAGAAACAGAUGGCUUUGUUUCAGCGGACACUGGAAAAUUUGAGCCAGCCCUGUCGGUGUGGAAAUGGUAAGCUCACUGUAUAUUUCUGCAAAUGGAAUGGCAAACAUAUUUUUAAGACUAGCUGUAAGCAUUGUGGUGAUGACUGCUAUGCUGCUUCACCUAAUCAGUUAUUUGUGUGAAAAUUAAUAGGCUGAUUUUAUCCAUAUUCAAUAUGUGAAAAGCGAAGGAGUUUCAGGUCACUUGUAUCUGACAAUGUUCAUGUUGAAUAAGGUUUGUGUACAUCGUGCAAAAGUUAUGUCUCAUUUGACAACAGUUUGCCUUCCCUUGCAUGUUUUCAUGAUCAUUACCUUUUUUGGCAUAUUGAGCAUGGUUCUGACAUCCCUCCCAUACGUCAUGAGAAGUUUUAUUCUAAGGCCAGAAAACUUCUUGCUUUCAUUUACACUGAGGAAGAAGUCUGAAGAACAGUUCAUAUCUCUGGUCAUGUGGAAAUUUGCAGUUGCAUUAAUCAGUCGUUCUUGCAGGCAUUAAUCUCCGAAGCAACCUGGCAGCGGAGGAGUUGCCAGAAGCUUCAUCAGAGCCAGCACCUGCAUCAGAGCCAGCACCUGAAAGUGCUAAGUGCAAGAAGAAACCCUGUGGGGACAGUGUGCAAGUGGCCACAGCUACACCACCAUCGGCAGUACCAGAAAACAACUGCACCAAAAAAACAGUCGAAGAGGCUGCUUGCUCAAACCAAGCGGCUCAGCAGACGGUGCCUGAAUUUUCCUUGUGUGAUGGUGGGCUGUUCCAUCUAUCCAGGAACAUUUUUAUCUCACAGAAGCAAGCAGCUAAGCUGUUCAAAAAUAAGAAAGCCACAAUAUUGGUUAGAGAUGCUGCUCAAGUUGUGUGGGGUUUCCACACGCUUGCGCAGAGAAGUGUGAGCGGUCGGUUGGCACCCACAAAAGCCAACAGUGGGCUGGAGCCAUCCAAACAGCUCACGCCGGAAAAAGUGGAGGUUAUUUACGGAUGCCUGGCCCACUGGGGCAGUGUGAAUAAUGUGGAUACCACGCUGGCCCACCACAACGUCAUGCGCACUUUAUCAGAAAAAAUUCAAGACUGCAAGAAGAAGCUGCGCAUGAAUUGACAUUGCAAAGCUGCACCUAUGUGACGUGAUAUGUUUGAGUUAAAUACAUAUUAGAUCUU
Dermacentor silvarum is the source of this 2279-nucleotide long non-coding RNA. RefSeq lists it as uncharacterized. The transcript is spliced from 9 exons. Lineage: Eukaryota; Metazoa; Arthropoda; Arachnida; Ixodida; Ixodidae. The record is from RefSeq and is a predicted model, not a curated record.